CAUUGCGUGAAGAGUAGGAGAAUGUUGGAGAGCGAGAGCAGGGAGGGGAAAGAGAGAGAGGGAGGUAGCAAGAUACAAGAGAGUGCGCGAGCGCGAGAGAAAGGGAGGUAGGGACAGAGAAGAGAGAAAGGGAGGUAGGUAGGGACAGAGAAGAGAGAAAGGGAGGUAUGGACAGAGAAGAGAGAAAGGGAGGUAGGUAGGGACAGAGAAGAGAGAAAGGGAGAUAUGGACAGAGAAGAGAGAAAGGGAGGUAUGGACAGAGAAGAGAGAAAGGGAGGUACGGACAGAGAAGAGAGAAAGGGAAGUACGGACAGAGAAGAGAGAAAGGAGGUAGGGACAGAGAAGAGAGAAAGGGAGGUAGGGACAGAGAAGAGAGAAAGGGAGGUAUGGACAUAGAAGAGAGAAAGGGAGGUAGGGACAGAGAAGAGAGAAAGGGAGGUAUGGACAGAGAAGAGAGAAAGGGAGGUAGGGACAGAGAAGAGAGAAAGGGAGGUAUGGACAGAGAAGAGAGAAAGGGAGGUAUGGACAGAGAAGAGAGAAAGGGAGGUAGGGACAGAGAAGAGAGAAAGGGAGGUAAGGACAGAGAAGAGAGAAAGGGAGAUAGGGACAGAGAAGAGAGAAAGGGAGGUAGGGACAGAGAAGAGAGAAAGGGAGGUAGGGACAGAGAAGAGAGAAAGGGAGGUAGGGAGAGAGAAGAGAGAAAGGGAGGUAGGGACAGAGAAGAGAGAAAGGGAGGUACGGACAGAGAAGAGAGAAAGGGAGAUAGGAACAGAGAAGAGAGAAAGGGAGGUAGGGACAG
Long non-coding RNA from Oncorhynchus tshawytscha (Chinook salmon), 799 nucleotides. NCBI's taxonomy places the organism in Eukaryota, Metazoa, Chordata, Actinopteri, Salmoniformes, Salmonidae. The record is from Ensembl.